GGAAGGAUCAUUAACGAAUAUAAUUCGAGGGGUUGUCGCUGGCCUCGCUCGCGCGAGGCAUGUGCACGCUUCUCGUUUUUCUCUCAACUCACCUGUGCACCUAAUGUAGGAUGCCUCUCCUCCGGGAGGGGGGACCUAUGUCUUCGUAACAUCUUCGUGUAGAAAGUCUUUGAAUGUUUACUAUCAUCGAGUCGCGACUUCUAGGAGACGCGAUUCUUUGAGAUAAAAGUUAUUACAACUUUCAGCAACGGAUCUCUUGGCUCUCGCAUCGAUGAAGAACGCAGCGAAAAGCGAUAUGUAAUGUGAAUUGCAGAUCUACAGUGAAUCAUCGAAUCUUUGAACGCACCUUGCGCUCCUCGGUGUUCCGAGGAGCAUGCCUGUUUGAGUGUCAGUAAAUUCUCAACCCCUCUCGAUUAGCUUYGAGAGGGWGCUUGGAUAGUGGAGGUUGCCGGAGACUUGGAUUCGUCCGAGACUCGGGCUCUUCUGAAAUGCAUCGGCUUGCGGUCGACUUUCGACUAUGYGCGACAAGGCUUUCGGCGUGAUAAUGAUCGCCGUUCGCUGAAGCGCAUGACUGAAYGUCCCGUGCCUCUAAUAYGUCGACCGCUUAUUAUCUCUCCGGAGAGAACAGGGUCUUCCUUAUUGACUUUUGACCUCAAAUCAGGUAGGACUACCCGCUGAACUUAAGCAUAUCAAUAAGCGGAGGAAAAGAAACUAACAAGGAUUCCCCUAGUAACUGCGAGUGAAGAGGGAAAAGCUCAAAUUUUGAAUCUGGCGGUCUUUAGGCCGUCCGAGUUGUAAUCUAGAGAAGCG
This 810-nucleotide ribosomal RNA is filed under the name Rhizopogon salebrosus. RNAcentral describes it as "eukaryotic LSU rRNA". The stretch from base 237 to 391 matches the Rfam family "5.8S ribosomal RNA". The record is from RNAcentral. Lineage: Eukaryota; Fungi; Basidiomycota; Agaricomycetes; Boletales; Rhizopogonaceae.